GCCUAGCCGUAACACACAAUCAAAUUACCAAUUGUUCGCCAAACAACUACGAGUAACACUUAAAACUUAAAAGACUUGACGGUACUUCACCCCGACCUAGAGGAGCCUGUCUAAUAACCGACAACCCACGAUUAACCCAACCACUUCUUGCCCAACAGUCUAUAUACCGCCGUCGCCAGCUUACCUUGUAAAAGAAAUAAAGUGAGCUAAACAGUAACACACUAAAACGACAGGUCGAGGUGUAACUUAUGAAGGGGGCCAAGAUGGGCUACAUUCUCCAACAGAGAAUACGAACAACACUAUGAAAUUAAUGUUUGAAGGCGGAUUUAGCAGUAAGAUAAGAACAAAACACUUAACUGAACACAACGCAAUGAAGUGCGCACACACCGCCCGUCAUCCCUGCCACCACAAUAUUAAAUCUCAAUAAAUCAACUUAAAAAGCAACCAGGGCAAGUCGUAACAUGGUAGGUGUACUGGAAAGUGUACCUAGAAA
RNAcentral lists this ribosomal RNA (493 nucleotides) under Trimeresurus yunnanensis (Yunnan bamboo pitviper). Its description in RNAcentral is "partial 12S ribosomal RNA". It matches the Rfam family "Bacterial small subunit ribosomal RNA", at positions 794 to 1522 of the family's 1533-position model. Lineage: Eukaryota; Metazoa; Chordata; Lepidosauria; Squamata; Viperidae. The record is from RNAcentral.